This 2192-nucleotide long non-coding RNA is filed under the name Eutrema salsugineum. Its description in RNAcentral is "long non-coding RNA (ESAL_LNC002066)". The record is from RNAcentral. Lineage: Eukaryota; Viridiplantae; Streptophyta; Magnoliopsida; Brassicales; Brassicaceae.
UUCUUCGAAAAACUCUAUUUCUCUUCCUCUCUUCCGCAAAACUUCGCCAAGUGAUUUCGCCGACGUUUUUUAACCAAAUCGGAGAGUUCUGCUUCGAAAUCGGAGAGGAUUCAGGUGUUUAAAGUCUCUUGAAACGCCAACGAUUUGUUUAAGGUAUGUAUUCGAGUCGAAUAGAACUUGAUUUGGAGAAAUUAGGGUUUUCGCAAAUUGGGGAUAAAUUUCAGUUCCACUAAAAUCGGUCUUCCGAGAUCGUUUAGGGUAAUUAGAACCUGCAAACCUGUAUUUUUGAUUUGAUAUGUUAAACGAUUUCAUGGUUAAGAUGUGAAGCAAUUUCAAAAAAUCAUCUAACAUCUGGGUUGUCGGAUUUAUGGAUUUAGCGAAUGGUUUUGGUUUGAUUAGUGGAUUUAGCAAGCUGUAUCAUCUGUUAAAUGAUGAUUUGAACAUGGAUUUGGGAUUUACCGAGUGAUUUCAUGUGUUAACCGAUGCUCAUUUGAUUUAGCUUGUAGUCAUUGAUUUCUUUGACAUUAGGUUGGCUUAUGUAACAAGAACAUGCUUUAUCUGUUAUGUAACAAGAACAUGCUUUCCUUAGAGAAUAUAUAAGCUAGUAUUUACAGCCAUUUCCUUUGUCUUUAAGUAGGUUUUUUCUAAACCCAGCUACUCUCUAAGUUUUAGUUAACUCUGUUGUAUUAAAAAGUCUUGUAAGCUAUGCUAUGUAGUCUCGAAGAACUGUUGUUUAACUUUUGGUAAUGAGGCAAUGUUAUGGUUAGUAUUGGUUCCAUAUUGUUAUUGGUUUCGUGUUGCAUCUGCGGUUUGGUUCUUGGGCAUCUGUUUCUAGUUUCAUUUCCCUUUUGCAGAUUAGAUUGACUGUACUUGUAUUAAUGCUAUUCAUUUUUUUAAUUGCUUUGAGGUGAAUUGGAGUAAAUUGUGGCGUAAUGAAAGUAACUACCAGAAGUUGGUUCACGUCUGCUUCGUAUUUAAGGUUAGUCUUCAAUCUGUAGUUAUGUGUAUGACUUGUUAAUAAGUUUUAAGGGUUAAGGUCUUGUCAUUACCAUAAAUGUUUGUUUGGUGAGUAGUUAAGUGUCUGUUAUUAUUGCCGUGACAGUUUGCUGGUUAGAGUAGGUUAGCGAGUUAAUGGUAGUUAAAGUUAAUAAGAUUUCCCUCUAUAAAAAACACAAAACAAACCAAAACACACAACAGAAAACAAAACUUGAAUAAACCUAACUUAAAAAGUUCUUCCAAGUUCUUCCUUCUAAACCCUUCUUUGUUAACGUUUUUAAGUUCUUCUUUCUAAACUUCUUCCUUGAAUACCCUUUUCUCUUUUUAAUCCUUUACACAAAGAUGGAUUCCACAAACCCUGCCUUGACUGGUUUUGUUAACCUACUAACCAGUCAACAAGAAAACCAAUACACUUUCCCAACAACCAUCGAGCUUGGAUCAGCCGAACCUAGGUUUAGCCAGUUUACACUUGAAGAACAAAAUCAAUGUGGGAAAUGAAGAGACUGGACUUAGACCUGAAAGACAAAAUUUCGAAGAGGAGAUUGCUUGACAGACUUCUCGUAAAAACUGAACCACUGACUGACAAAGAAUUGGCUUUGAAAGACAUACUCAUUAGCGAGAUGUUGUAGAACUUUGUCUGUUUUACUUGUUUUCAAUAUGUGUACUUGUUUUUGUUUGUCUUUGUGCUAUGUUGCUGAAUUAGGUGUUCAUGUACUUCGUAUUUGUUCUUGUUCUAUGCCAUAAUGAAUUUUUUGUUUGAGUGUGUACUUUGUUGUAUUAGAUUUAAUUUGUGUUUGUUGUACUUGUUGUUAUUCAAUGGCUUUGUACUUUGCAGAUAUUUAUGGAGAGUCAUCGAAUACAAAGCUUCUUUUGUUUGUGGAGUAGAAACUCCAGCUUUUGGUGUUUUGCAGAGGCAUCGCUCACGGGUGUUUUGCAGUGGAGAGGCAUCGCUCACGGGUGUUAAACUUGUGGAGUAGAAGCUCCAGCUUUUGGUGUUUUGCAGAGUCGUGGAAUCUAUACAAAGCUUCUUUUGUUUUCAUUUGUCACGGGCUUUUCUAUCUUUUGUAACUUGUAUUUUUUGUAACUUGUCAUUUCUGUAACGUGUAGUUUCUAAUCCACACAAUAUCAGGGAUUGUAAGCCACAAAAAGUUCACCACUUCUCUUAUUUAUACGAUCAUUGGUGCUCUUCAAACACA